RNAcentral lists this ribosomal RNA (422 nucleotides) under uncultured prokaryote. RNAcentral describes it as "bacterial SSU rRNA". It matches the Rfam family "Bacterial small subunit ribosomal RNA", at positions 355 to 774 of the family's 1533-position model. The record is from RNAcentral.
UGAGGAAUAUUGGUCAAUGGGCGGAAGCCUGAACCAGCCAUGCCGCGUGCAGGACGACGGCCCUACGGGUUGUAAACUGCUUUUCCGGGGGAAGAAUAAGGCCCACGCGUGGGUCGAUGCCGGUACCCCGGGAAUAAGGAUCGGCUAACUCCGUGCCAGCAGCCGCGGUAAUACGGAGGAUCCGAGCGUUAUCCGGAUUUACUGGGUUUAAAGGGUGCGUAGGCGGACCCCUAAGUCAGCGGUGAAAUGCGGCGGCUUAACCGUCGAACUGCCGUUGAUACGGGGUGUCUUGGAUGCGGUCGGGGCGGGCGGAAUGCGUGGUGUAGCGGUGAAAUGCUUAGAUAUCACGCAGAACGCCGAUUGCGAAGGCAGCUCGCCGGGCCGUUAUCGACGCUGAGGCACGAAAGCGUGGGGAUCGAACA